This 69-nucleotide transfer RNA is filed under the name Pithemera bicincta. RNAcentral's name for it is "tRNA-Gln". It matches the Rfam family "tRNA". Rfam says of the family: Transfer RNA (tRNA) molecules are approximately 80 nucleotides in length. Their secondary structure includes four short double-helical elements and three loops (D, anti-codon, and T loops). Lineage: Eukaryota; Metazoa; Annelida; Clitellata; Crassiclitellata; Megascolecidae. The record is from RNAcentral.
UAUAAUCUGGUGUAUGGUGCACACAGGUCUUUGAAACCUGAGGACUUAGUUCAACUCUACCUAUUAUAA